AUGAAGUCCGACGUCUGCUCCUUCGGCGUCGUGCUCUUCGAGGCGCUCAUGGCGCGGCGCCCGGAGAUGCUGACUGGGGACCAGGCCGUCGGCCUCGCCGAGCACGCGCUGGCAUGCCACCGGAGCGGCACCCUGCCGGACGCCGUCGACGCGGCGAUCAAGGACCAGGUCGCGCCGGAAUGCCUUGAGAAGUUCGCUGAGACCGCCGUGGAGUGUCUCGCGCACCAAGGCACGGAGCGGCCGGCCAUGGGCGACGUGCUAUGGAACCUAGAGUUGUCGAUGCAGCUGCAGCUGAUUAAUCCCAAUAAGACGUAG
This 315-nucleotide ribosomal RNA is filed under the name Triticum aestivum (bread wheat). RNAcentral describes it as "partial small subunit ribosomal RNA". The record is from RNAcentral. Lineage: Eukaryota; Viridiplantae; Streptophyta; Magnoliopsida; Poales; Poaceae.